GGAAGGAGACUUAGAAAAACUUUCUGCAUGGGCUAUCCCUGUUUUACGUCCACAAGAACUGCAUGCAGCAUUCCAGUUGAAGAUGGCAGUGCUGCUGAACCAAAUUCAGGUGCCUGAGUUCUCAGAUCCUUUUUCUGCACAAUUGUUCCUGUCUGCAUUCAAAAGCCAAGGAUUCCAUACAGGCAAAACUCCAUUCAGUAUAAUUUUCCAGUCCUUCACUCGUGUUCCCGCAAAUCUUCAUGAGUUGAGCAAAUAGAUGCAGUAGAAUGAGCUGAGAAAACCUAAGACUUGC
Molecule: long non-coding RNA, 292 nt
Filed under: Anas platyrhynchos platyrhynchos (common mallard)
Lineage: Eukaryota; Metazoa; Chordata; Aves; Anseriformes; Anatidae
Description: lncRNA (ENSAPLG00000023433.1)
Source: RNAcentral